RNAcentral lists this long non-coding RNA (3145 nucleotides) under Ananas comosus (pineapple). RNAcentral describes it as "long non-coding RNA (ACOM_LNC005737)". Lineage: Eukaryota; Viridiplantae; Streptophyta; Magnoliopsida; Poales; Bromeliaceae. The record is from RNAcentral.
AUAAAAACAUACAUAUAAAAAUCUAGGGAUAAUUGCCUGUAUACCCCUGAUACGUUUGAAAAUAUCUGAUUUAUUUCUAUUUUUUUUUUUUAAAUACCCCUCAUAUGUUCCACCGUUAUUGCAAAAUACCCCCGCAGUUAUCUCUUAUAAAUUAACUUGGGUUAAACGUGAGUUAAAUAUCUACCACAGUUAAAAAAAUUUAAAUGUCAAUUUUGCCCUUAACUUAACAGCAAAUAGGAAAAGUUGGUGACGAUAGAGGGUUAUAUUGGAAAAGACCAAAAGUCAAAAUAGUCCCUGACUUUAAGGGCAAAUAAGAAAGACUGUGAUGGUGGAAGGGUAUAUUUGAAAUGACAAAAUAGUAAUUUUAAAGAGAUAACAGAAUUAAUUAUUAGAUUUUAACUCUAGGGGUAUAUUAAAAAUACGUUGGAACGUAGAAAGGGUAUUUUCAAUAUUAGCUUUCUAAAAGAGGUAAAUCGGAAAGUCGGAAACUUUUCAGAAGUAUAUAAGCAAUUGCCCUAAAAAUCUACAUACAUGUAUAUUAAUUUUUCCAUUUGGUGAGCUUUGUUACCGGAACACUCCAAAGUGAGAUGUACAUCAUGCAUCUUCAUCAUACAAGAGCUAUUAUUUUCUAGGGGCAAUUGCUUAUAUACUCCUAAAAUGUUUCAAAUAUAUUUUUAAAGUUAAAAUUUGUUAAUAAACUCUGCUAUCUCUAUAAAAUUACUAUUUUGUCCUUUCAAAUAUAUCCUUCUACCAGCAUAGACUUUUCCUAUUUGCCUUUAAGGGCAUAUUUGGUUGGCCGAAAAUGAAGCACAAAAAAUAGCAAUGUUAGAAAGUGACAUAUUAUCGGUUGUUUGGUUAAUGAAAGUAAAAAUAAAAGUCACUUUACAAAAGUUAGCUGAUAAAAUGAGUUAUAGCUAAAUAUUACUCUUUUGACUUUGGCUCAAAAAAUACAGAAGCCACCGAAAGUGAAAAUCUUAGCUAAGAUAUUAUAUUUGGUCCUAACUUUAAUUUUUGAAUUUAUUUUUAAAGUUAAAUUUUACUAUAAAUUUGAAUUAAAAUCAUGAUAACAUUUUGAAUUUUAUUUGUAAAUUCAAAUUCAAAAUAAAAUUUUUUAAAUUCAAAUUUGUGACUUUAUAUUUUAAUUUAAUUAUUAAAUUUUUAAUUAUAUUUUAACUUGAAUUUUAGAAUUUAGAUUUAAAUUUAAAUUUUAAAUUUAUAUUUAUAUUCAAAUUUUUAAAUUUAAAUUUAGAUUUAAAUUUUAUAAUUUAAAUUUUAAUUAAAUUACUUUUUGCUAACAACUUCAAUUUGAACUUUGAAUUCAAAUUGUUCCAACUAUAAAUUCAAAUUAUUGACUAAAAAUUUAAAUAAAAAUUUUAAAAUUUUAAGUUAAAAUUAAAANGGUGUACCGGUACACGGGAUUGCGUACCGGUACAGGAAGCAACCCGAGAGCAGAUUACGCGGCAUCAGUAUAGUGUACCGGUACGCCAUGAUGGCUGUACCGGUACAACAAGCAGGAAAAUCUGCUAUUUCGCAGAUUUCUUCGCUGAAGGCUGCUCUCGCGUCCGACGGAGUCCGUUUUACGUCUAUUUGACGCCAACGCGACUCGGGCUUGUCCCGACACUCUCCAGAGCUGUCGACAAGCCUCCACAGUCAAACACCAGGGAUCUCACAAUUCAAAUUAUAAUUCAAAUUCAAAUUCAAAUUUACAUAAAUGUUUAAAUUUCUAUUUUGAACUUUUAUUUCAGAAUUUAAUUUCAGUAAUGAGAUUUAAAUUCAAAUUAUAAAUUUAAUUUAUAUAUUAAAUUUUAAUUAUAAAUUUAACUCUGAUUUAAGUUUAAUUAAAAUUUUGAAAUAUACUUUUGAAUUCUAAAUUUAAAUAUAAAUAUAAAAUUUUAAUUUAAAUUGCUGUUAUAAGCCGUUUAUUUAUAUUUUCACCUUAUUAUAUAUAAUUUAACAAUCAAAAUAUCAAAAUUACAGUUUUAAUAUUUCACUUCAUAUCCAAUCAAACAAUCGAACUAAGAAGUCACUUUUGCAAAAGGUACUUUUGCACAAGUGACUUUUUCUCACUUCACUCACUACCGGACAACCAAACAUGCCUUAAGUUAGGAGCACAAAAAGUAUUUUACUUUUUGGUAUUUUCAAAUAUACCAUUUUACCAUCACUAAUAUUUUUUAUUUGCCCUUAAGUUAAGAGUAAAAGUGGCAUUUUAAUUUUUUUAAACUGUGGUAGAUAUUUAACUCACGUUUAAUCUAAGUUAACUUAACGGGUGAUAACUAUAGAGUUAUUUUGGAAUAACGGAGGAAUGUAUGAGGAGUAUAUUAGAAAGAAAAAAAAAAUAGGGAUAAAUUAAAUAUUUUUGAAGUUUUGAGGGGUAUAUAGGCAAUUGUCCCUAUUUUUUAACUCAUCACAUCAAUUUUUUUUUUUUUUACUAUAAUUCAGUGUAAGAUCUACACCCCUUGAGACGUAUAAGUAGAAUUUUUAUUAUCUAACUUUUUUUUUAUUAACUGUCCAAUUACAUUUUGGCACGGAGUGGGGCAUAGUUAUUAGCCCAAUCUGUUAUCUAUCUGCUGCCCUAAUUUGUAAUUGGGCCUUCAUUUGCCAAUAAUUUUGGCCCGACACGGGAAAAUUAAAAGGACCAUUCCUAGCACUAGUGGUACGUUUGAAGCCUGUCACUUCCCAUUUCCAGUUAAAAUUAUUUUUAUUUUAAAAAAAUAAACGAAGCAACAAUGUGCAACCUUUAUCUCAAGCAAAAAUAAAAAUAAAAAUAGAACACAACGUAGUGUAGUUCCAAUUUAUUAGAUUACAUCAAACUGCGGCUAGGGAAAUAAAUUAUGCGGUGAUACCUGUCCCUAGCGAUGUAAAACGGGCCGGACAGCACUUGGGCCACCCGGCUAGUAUAUAUAUAUAUAUAUAUAUAUAUAUAUAUAUAUAUAAUUGAGCUCCUAUACUUUUAAAAAUACCAAGUUAUCGUUGCUUAUAGAUUUUUAGCCAUUGGAUUAAGAGAUAUGCGGUUAAGAUGAUGUGGGCCCCCUAGGGUUGAAUAGUAUAAUCUAAUGGUUGAAAAUAAUCCGAGGAAUAGAUUUAACGGUAAAAAACUUACAAGCACCAAGUGCUUGGUGCUUUUACAAGCACCAUAACCGGACUC